RNAcentral lists this ribosomal RNA (466 nucleotides) under uncultured bacterium. RNAcentral's name for it is "partial 16S ribosomal RNA". It matches the Rfam family "Bacterial small subunit ribosomal RNA", at positions 339 to 795 of the family's 1533-position model. The record is from RNAcentral.
CUACGGGCUGCAGCAGUCGAGAAUAGUCUAUAAUGGACGAAAGUCUGAUAGAGCGACGCCGCGUGGAUGAAGAAGCAUUUCGGUGUGUAAAGUCCUUUUCUGUGUGAGCAAUGUUUUCCAGGUUAAUAGCUUGGAGAAAGCGAUAUUAAUACAGGAAUAAGCUCCGGCUAACUCCGUGCCAGCAGCCGCGGUAACACGGGGGGAGCAAGCGUUGUCCGGAAUUACUAGGCGUAAAGGGUAAGUAGGCGGAAUUGUAAGUCAGAUGUUAAAGGCACCGGCUCAACCGGUGUAUGGCAUUUGAUACUGUAAUUCUAGAGUAAGGUGGGGGAAGACGGAAUUCCUGGUGUAGCGGUGGAAUGCGCAGAUAUCAGGAGGAACACCAGAGGCGCAGGCGGUCUUCUAUACCAUUACUGACGCUCAAUUACGAAGGUGUGGGUAUCAAACAGGAUUAGAUACCCUCGUAGUC